Molecule: long non-coding RNA, 393 nt
Filed under: Setaria viridis
Lineage: Eukaryota; Viridiplantae; Streptophyta; Magnoliopsida; Poales; Poaceae
Description: long non-coding RNA (SVIR_LNC010567)
Source: RNAcentral
GGACCGGGAGUGGAGGCCAGCAGUUGUGCUUUGGUGUUCGCACGUGGCGGCAAUGAGGCUGGCUUGACACCGGAGUCGGUCGGAUUUGGAGCAAAGACGUGGUACUGCAGCGCGGGGCGAAGUGGUAGCUCAGCGGUGCGCGUGGGUGGGUGGUCCUAUGGUGGGCUGCGCGUGGGCUCGCAGGUAGCAAAGUGGGACGCGCCGCCCUGGCUUUGCUGUGGUUGUGUCUGGCCCUUCCACCCUAACCUUUUCUUAGGUGAUGAUGCAAAUCUGCGUGGCUUGGUGGCAUCGUGGUGGCGCAGCCAAGGGUGGUCUGCGUGGGGCUCGCCGACGGCACCAUGGUGGUGCGAUUGGCGUCGGCCUGCAUGGGGCACGUUAGCGGCACCAUGGAGG